GGAGCGGUGGCAGAGUGGUCGAUUGCUGUCGCCUUGAAAGCGACCGGGCCUUCGCGGGUCCCGUGGGUUCGAAUCCCACCCGCUCCUCCA
This 90-nucleotide transfer RNA is filed under the name Pseudosulfitobacter sp. DSM 107133. Its description in RNAcentral is "tRNA-Ser". It matches the Rfam family "tRNA". Rfam says of the family: Transfer RNA (tRNA) molecules are approximately 80 nucleotides in length. Their secondary structure includes four short double-helical elements and three loops (D, anti-codon, and T loops). Lineage: Bacteria; Pseudomonadati; Pseudomonadota; Alphaproteobacteria; Rhodobacterales; Roseobacteraceae. The record is from RNAcentral.